GUGAAUCCGGUCGGGGGACACUGUUAGGCGGGCAGUUUGACUGGGGCGGUCGCCUCCCAAAAGGUAACGGAGGCGCUCAAAGGUUCGUUCAGCACGGACGGAAAUCGUGCAAUGAGUGUAAACGCAUAAACGAGCCUAACUGCGAGACCGACGGGUCGAGCAGUAACGAAAGUUGGAGUUAGUGAUCCGGUGGUAUGUGAGUGGAAAUGCCAUCGCUCAACGGAUAAAAGCUACCCUGGGGAUAACAGGCUGAUCUCCCCCAAGCGUCCACAGCGACGGGGAGGUUUGGCACCUCGAUGUCGGCUCGUCGCAUCCUGGGGCUGAAUUCGGUCCCAAGGGUUUGGCUGUUCGCCAAUUAAAGCGGCACGCGAGCUGGGUUCAGAACGUCGUGAGACAGUUCGGUCCCUAUCUGUUGCGGGCGUAAGAGAUUUGAAGGGAGCUGUCCUUAGUACGAGAGGACCGGGAUGGACGUACCUCUGGUGCACCAGUUGUCCUGCCAAGGGCAUAGCUGGGUAGCUAUGUACGGACGAGAUAAACGCUGAAAGCAUCUAAGCGUGAAACUCCCCCUAAGAUGAGAUCUCUCAUCCUUCAAGGAGUAAGGACCCAGAAAGACGAUCUGGUUGAUAGGCCGAAGGUGGAAGCGCAGUAAUGUGUGCAGCUGAUCGGUACUAAUAGUCCGAGGGCUUGACCU
RNAcentral lists this ribosomal RNA (691 nucleotides) under human gut metagenome. RNAcentral describes it as "bacterial LSU rRNA". It matches the Rfam family "Bacterial large subunit ribosomal RNA", at positions 2235 to 2925 of the family's 2925-position model. The record is from RNAcentral.